UGGACCUGGGCGGAGCUUACGCGCCGCUCGACCGUUCGGAUACACGCACGUUGGAUCGGACGCCAAAUCGUACCGUGUGUCCCCUGCUUAAAGCUCGCUCAUGGUUCGGCGUAAGUCCCUGUAUAUUCUUUAUAAAUAAGGAAGCCUACCUAGGCACUGUAAACCCAACAAUUGGGGCCUAAAUGCCUGCCCUCCUCCCUGCUGCGGCUUCGUUUGAGCGACAAAGUCCGAUUUCGAAGGCCGUGCUUUUGUAAACUGCAUGCCACUGAAGCGGUUGCGAAUCUUGAAGGCGACAUCCGCUUCAUUUUUUUUUUUUUAAUAUAUACAGUACAUUUUCUUAAACAUCGUAUAAAAAAGUGCAUAUUUAUACAAAGUUAACACUUUUUGACCCAAGAAAUUUGUUAAAGUGUCCCUACCGAUUGUUGUUAGGAAAAAACACGUAAUUUUCUCAUUUACGAUACAUUUUUCUAAAAACCGUAGAGUGGCGCCACUGCAGUAUUUGUUUGGUCGACAUACCACGUUGGUUGUAGUGAAUGCACCUUGCAGUAAGGCGGUAUUUGAGUUAUAUUUUAGAAGUGCCUAGACAAAAUCUGCUCCUUGUCGUGUGCAGUAACCAUCGCAAACCCUCCGGACUUGUGUAACGCCGUUAGUUCGCCGUGUGUUUCGUGCGAUCUACCAGUGUCGACAGUGAGUGUCUUACUACAGCGCCCGUCCGAGCUGCCUUUGUUCUGCCGAGCUGCCUGCCCGCGCUCUCGUGAAAAGUCUGGUACUGGAGCUUCGAAUCGUAGUGUAUGGAAGACUGUUGAAGGUUGUGCUUUUGUGGAGCUGGAGUUCAUCGGAAGUUCUACAGUGCUUGCGCCAGAAAAACGUCGGUGCCUCGGUACCUUUGAGACGAAGGAGCGUUGGCCAAGUCUUUUUGAAAGGCUAUGCGGAUUCUGGAGGCAUCCCUACAUCAAGCAGGAACCUGCUGCACUGCUGGAAGCUGGACAGCACGACAAUAAAGCACGUGAUCUGUGUGCUUUCUCAAAGGUAGACAUCGGCGACGGUGUAUAUGUUGAAAAGUGCCUGCUGAAGAGGCUGCGCCUGGAUGCUAACAACUCAGGCUUUCAGUUCGCGGGGGGCCUCCUUAAGGCUCCUUUUACAAAAGAAGAGGUUGAAGGGAGGCGCUACACAUGGAUGCGCAGCGAUUGUUUGUGACAUCGUCACUGCUGGCAGGCCUGGCCUGCCUUUUCGCUUCGUUCUGGGUCUUCCACGUUAUCUACUCGAAAACGCCCACAGGGUUUUGACAUUUAUUGAGCACUGCUUUCUGGAUUUGAGCUACACAAAGCUGCAGGUGAAAGCAUUGGAUUUAGUCAAUAUUUACUAGAACUAUUGCUAGGCAAAAAAAUUUUCAGAUGCAUAUCCUCAAGAAAGUUUCUGUAAAAAUUAUUUUGCCUAACAAAAGCACUCGUGGGUUCUGUGGCUGGCAGCUUGCCCAAGCCAUGUAGCACAGUGCUUGCUUUAAAGGGACACGAAAGGGAAAAUUUAUUUGAGCGUUAUUAAAUCAUUUUUCUACAACACCGAAAAAACAACUCCCUCUAAGAGAAUUGGCUUGAUAAGCCAGAUAACUUGCAAAAACGAAAACUGGUGUCGCCACCACCACCUUAUAAUUCCUGCACCAGCUCGCUGUGAUAUGGAAUUUGACGGUGUCUGUUCGGGUCUAGCUAAUGUUCUACUGGCCAAUAUUGAUGAAUUCUGUUGUAAAGGUGUCAAAGAAUAUACUUAGUUGAAGUAUGACUCCACACUGAUGUGCGGGCACUGCAUAAAACUUGAAAGUUAAAUCUUCAUUUUCUCAUCUAUUAAUCCGCUUAUUGCCACAAUGUUCAUGAAUACAGUUCUGAAAGAUUGUUUUAUCAGUCUAAAAUCAUUUAUUGUUUCUCUUUAGUAUCUCUGUAAUGGACCUUUAGCAACAAAAUGUGUGUUAGUUUGCGACAGGUAUUCUCAGCGGGGGCAAGAGCACCAGCAGCAUGCUCAGUGAUUCUGUACCAACUGAUAAUUUGAAGGAUGUCCUGUGCCACUAGGGUUAGGCCAACAUGGCUCUGUGUUAAUCACCACAAGUGUAUUAUGCAAAACUUAAUGGCCCAGAAAUUGGUAAUUCAGGGGGGAGUUGAAUUAGCUGUUUAUUUUUUUUUUCUUUAUCAUGGACUUCUCACAUUACACUUUGUCACAACGCAUUCACUUUAAAGUAACUGGAGAAUAAGGUGGUUUGGUAUUCAGACAUGCCUUCUGUGUGUAAACAGUGUUAGAUGAGCAAUACAAAGAUACACCAUAUAUGCUGACUGGCAACAUGAAGGGGUUUGAGGGCAGCUACGAAUAUACAUCCUUGUAGUCGUACCUAUAGCACUAUGUUCAAUUUGUCACACAAGCAUAUGGCAUCCAUCACAACUGCAUGCCUAGAAAAAGACAAGGGCAACACACUCAAUUACCUUUUAUUCUAUCUAAGAAGCACUACAAUAUUUAGGCAACGAAAUUGACAUCUGGCUUGUACCCAUAAGUACUGCAAUACAGUUGUAUAACAUGUUCCUCUUGUGUGGAAAAAGGGCUGCAUACGUUUUCUUUGAGCACAAGGGGGGGUGGUAUCAGUUAAAGAAGCCCCUCCAUCCACGCGCCACUGCCGCUUUCUUAAGUAGCGACAACCUUUGUUGUACGCCGCCUUUUCCCCUGACAUCAAAUCCGGUUCCAGCAUUUCCAGUUUCAAAGUUUCCGGUUCCGUCGUUACCGCUUCCUGGAGUUGUGGUGCGGGAAUUUCCGCUUUGACUGCCGAUGGUGAGAUGCCCACGCGUGCUUAGCAGAGCUGUGGUAGUCACCAUGAGAAGAAUGCAAAGGCGACAAGCUGUUGUAUUCCGCUGAAGUAGUAAUUCUCGGUCGCUGUUUUCUAAAUGCACGAAAAAUGGCAGUGGUCUCCAAGCGCCCAGGCACUACAUUCCACUGUACGUUGUCUCGUGGCACAACCCGUCGCAGGUUGACGCGAAACAGCGAACACGAUCAGAUCGCUGGUUACAAUAGGCGGUGGUACUUGGAUGGAAUCGCAUUCACAGUUUAAACCGCAGCUGGUGCAAUUAAAGCCUCUCCAUCGACGCGAAAGUAAACAACGUUAAGAAAAACAUAGCGUUACUUCCACUCGGAACAGGAAGCUGCAGCUACGGAAGUUCCGCUUGAUGCCGGAAGCUAAGGGGGCGAGUGGCAGAGGAACGUGGAGGAAGAGGGUAGGUUGGCGGUACUUAACCUGGUCGGCGGAAACGUGUAUGGAGGGGCUUUAGUAUCAGUUAAUGGCUGUUUUCACAUAUAUGUUUUGUCGUGUGUAUUAGCAAUCACCACUUUCCUUAUCUGAGUGAGGUCAUUUUUUAGAAAGUUUGAAAGUUUAUAGAACAUGUUGCUCAUGGUUGUUGCAGUUUUCUUCCUAACUAUCCAUUCAUUGCACUGUGCACCCAUGUCUUGGGCAACUAGCUGUUUGAAGGUCAGCAUGCUAUCGAUGGGUCUAAUGAUAAUCUCUAGUGCCCUCUCAUUUGCUUGUUGCAAUACUUAAGAGUUAGAUUUUGUAUAUUGUGUCACUGGUUUAUUUUCACUGUACUUUAGUUUCACUACAUCUUGAAUGUGUUGUGAUAGUUUUUCUUUUGCAAUGAAAGAUAUGGUGGGCAGUUGCCGACACUAAUGUUUCGCUGGGCAGUAAUGGUCAUUAGCAGCAGAUGCUAGCUGCCCUUAAGUGCAAUGUUUUUAUGUUGCAUAGUAUUGUUCAUGAUUCAUUGAAUGCACUGCACGCACAUGUUGUGGACAACUGCCUGUUUGAAGAAAUUAUCUGCAUAUUCAGUGGGUCUAAUGUGAACAUCUCUACUACUGACUUAGCUUCACUACAUCUUGAAUGUGUUGUGAUAGUUUUUAUUUUGCCGUGACAGAUGUGGUGGGCAGUUGCCGGCACUAAUGUGAUAGUACGAAUGCUUGCUGUAUUUACCACAUGGUUGUUUCAUUUCGUCUGAGGCAGUAGUGGCCGUUAGCAGCAGAUGUCAUUUGGCCUUAAGUGCAAUAUUUUUAUGUUGCAUAGUUUUGUCCAUAAUCAUCCAUUGAAUGCACUGCAGACCCAUGUUCUGGACAACUGCCUGUUUGAAGGAAUGAUCUGCAUAUUCAGUGUGUCUAAUGUGAACAUCUCUAGUACUGCCUGUGUAUUUGUGAGUUAGAGUUUGUAUUGUGUGUCAUUUUGUUUUCGCUGUGCUUUAGUUUCACUACAUCGUGAAUGGGUUGAUAGUUUUCCUUUUGCAGUGAGAGAUAUGAUGGGCAGUGGCCGGCACUAAUGUGAUAGUACGAAUGCUUGCUGUAUUUACCACAUGGUUGUUUCAUUUUGUCUGGCGCAGUAAUAGCCGUUAGCAGCAGAUGCCAUUUGGCCUUAAGUGCAAUAUUUUUAUGUUGCAUAGUUAUGUUCAUACUAAUCCAUUGGAUGCACAGCACACCCAUGUUCUGGACAACUGCCUGUUUGAAGGAAUGACCUGCAUAUUCAGUGGGUUUAAUGUGACCGUCUCUAGUACUGACUGUAUAUUUAUCAGUUAGGUUUUAUAUUGUAUGUUGCUUGUUUUCACUGUAGGCUGCUGAGCACGAGGUCGCGGGAUCGAAUCCCGGCCGCGGCGGCCGCAUUUCGAUGGAGGCGAAAUACGAAAACACCCGUGUACUUAGAUUUAGGUGCACGUUAAAGAUCCCCAGGUGGUCGAAAUUUCCGGAGUCCUCCACUACGGCGUGCCUCAUAAUCAGAAAGUGGUUUUGGCACGUAAAACCCUAUAAUUUAAUUUUUUUUUUCACUGUACUUUAGUGGGAUUGCACAUUGAAUGUGUUGUGAUGUAUUUUAUUUUGCUAUGAGAGAUCUAAUGGGCAGUUACCAGCCCCCGGUCUUUGUAUUAGUACAAAUAUUUAUUAUGCUUAUCACAGCAUUUUGUAAGGCUAUAGUUUUGUGAUGAUUAACUCAUGCCUGACUUUUUUAUGAGAAACAUGUCACAACUAAUAAACAAUCACUCAUGCUUGGGAUCCAUGAAA
Molecule: long non-coding RNA, 5055 nt
Organism: Dermacentor andersoni
Lineage: Eukaryota; Metazoa; Arthropoda; Arachnida; Ixodida; Ixodidae
Source: RefSeq, a predicted model, not a curated record